Molecule: ribosomal RNA, 726 nt
Filed under: uncultured Lachnospiraceae bacterium
Lineage: Bacteria; Bacillati; Bacillota; Clostridia; Lachnospirales; Lachnospiraceae
Description: bacterial SSU rRNA
Rfam family: Bacterial small subunit ribosomal RNA
Source: RNAcentral
GACGAACGCUGGCGGCGCGCCUAACACAUGCAAGUCGAACGAGCGAGAGAGAGCUUGCUUUCUCGAGCGAGUGGCGAACGGGUGAGUAACGCGUGAGGAACCUGCCUCAAAGAGGGGGACAACAGUUGGAAACGACUGCUAAUACCGCAUAAGCCCACGGUGCCGCAUGGUACAGAGGGAAAAGGAGCAAUCCGCUUUGAGAUGGCCUCGCGUCCGAUUAGCUAGUUGGUGAGGUAACGGCCCACCAAGGCGACGAUCGGUAGCCGGACUGAGAGGUUGAACGGCCACAUUGGGACUGAGACACGGCCCAGACUCCUACGGGAGGCAGCAGUGGGGAAUAUUGCACAAUGGGGGAAACCCUGAUGCAGCGACGCCGCGUGGAGGAAGAAGGUCUUCGGAUUGUAAACUCCUGUUGUUGGGGAAGAUAAUGACGGUACCCAACAAGGAAGUGACGGCUAACUACGUGCCAGCAGCCGCGGUAAAACGUAGGUCACAAGCGUUGUCCGGAAUUACUGGGUGUAAAGGGAGCGCAGGCGGGAAGACAAGUUGGAAGUGAAAUCUAUGGGCUCAACCCAUAAACUGCUUUCAAAACUGUUUUUCUUGAGUAGUGCAGAGGUAGGCGGAAUUCCCGGUGUAGCGGUGGAAUGCGUAGAUAUCGGGAGGAACACCAGUGGCGAAGGCGGCCUACUGGGCACCAACUGACGCUGAGGCUCGAAAGUGUGGGUA